RNAcentral lists this ribosomal RNA (324 nucleotides) under uncultured eukaryote. Its description in RNAcentral is "partial 18S ribosomal RNA". It matches the Rfam family "Eukaryotic small subunit ribosomal RNA", at positions 1470 to 1796 of the family's 1831-position model. The record is from RNAcentral.
CCCUUAGAUGUUCUGAACCGCACGCGUGUUACACUGAUGCAUUCAACGAGCUUUACCUUGGCCGAGAGGCCUGGGAAAUCUUUUUAGCAUGCAUCGUGAUAGGGAUUGAUUAUUGCAAUUAUUAAUCAUGAACGAGGAAUUCCUAGUAAACGCAUUUCAUCAAAAUGCAUUGAUUACGUCCCUGCCCUUUGUACACACCGCCCGUCGCACCUACCGAUUGAGUGGUCCGGUGAAGUCUCGAGAUUGUGGCAAUCUCCUUUAUUGGAGUUUGACUGCGAGAACUUGCCUAAACCUUAUCACUUAGAGGAAGGUGGAGUCGUAACA